RNAcentral lists this long non-coding RNA (3326 nucleotides) under Salvia miltiorrhiza (redroot sage). Its description in RNAcentral is "long non-coding RNA (SMIL_LNC007010)". Lineage: Eukaryota; Viridiplantae; Streptophyta; Magnoliopsida; Lamiales; Lamiaceae. The record is from RNAcentral.
UCUAUUUUAUGCAUGAAUUUUCAGCCAAAGGGAAAUACAGGUUGGCUGCAAGAAUAUGAAGCCUCUACCUCAGACAAAAUGAAUUUAAAAAAAUAGAUUCUGCAGAUCUGUGCUUCUGUUUGAGGGUAUAUAAUAUGGACACUGCACGAAGAGCUGACCUUUAUUAAAAGAAAUGCACGUUGAAUCUCGCCUCGUUUCUCAUUCAUCACAAGCUCUCAUGGAGCUGCCAACUGUGUAAACUCUGUGCUGCAUAGAUAAUGAUGGAGCUUUGAUUGCUUAUCUUCAGACAAAUUAAUACAAUAUUCUCAUCAUAUGUUUCUUCACCAAGAGCAAAAAAUGAAAUGUAUUCGUGCAUUACAUUAAAAUAAUUUCAAGAUAACUAUAUUUUAUGGCAGUUAUUCAUGGUCUGUCAUUGGGAAAAUAAUGCAGAUUCCUUAUGUCCUUUUCCUCACUAUAUAAUAAGCACAUAUAUUUUUGUUAGAUGCAUCACAAUUUUCUUGAUUCAAUUCCAAUUCUAAGCCUUACUUUCACCAAGUAAAAAAACAAACAAUGGCUCCCUCACCUUUGAGAUCCAAGUCACUUAACCAUGGCCGCUCUCUUAGCUUCCCAUCUUCAUCACAUCCUGCUCUUACUCACUUCGAUGAGAACUUAUCCAGAUUGAGAUCUUCCGAGGCUGCUUGCUCGUCGCUCUCAUCCAUCAACCGCGCUGCAAAUGGCCUCAGAAACUUAUAUGAGAGCAUCGAUGAUUUGCUUCUCUUGCCUCACAUUCAGCAGAUCGUUUCUGAGGAGUGUGUUGAUGAUUACAUCAGCCUAUUGGAUGCUAGCAGCUCAGUUAAGGAUCUCAUCUCACUCGUGAAGGAAGAUCUACGAGAGCUUCUCUCUGCUGUAAGGAGAAAGGAUGUUCGAGGCAUAAACGGCUACCUUGCUUUAAGAAAGCAGUCGAAGAAAAAGAUCCAAAAGUGUUUAGAAGAAGUUGAGACGUAGCAGCGCCUCAGCCUUUUCUGAGAAUGUUUCCAUGUUGAAAGAUGCAGAGUCCGUUGCCAUUUCCUUGCUCGAGUCUCUCUUGUCCUACACGUUGGGGAUGACAAUGCAAGAAAGCAUCAGACGACGAGAAUGAGUUCAACAAGGUGGAUUCAUUCCUGCAACUGAAUCAAGAAAACGAGCUCGUGAAUCACUUGAAAGAGAUGGACUCGAGCAUUCAAGUUCUUGAAGAAGAACUUGAAUCGGUAUUCAGGCAGAUGAUCAAGACCAGACUUUCCCUUCUCAACAUUCUCAACAACUAGAGAUUGAAAAUUUUGUAACUAGUACAUGAAUAUAUAUACUUGUAUAUAUCAAAUUGAUUCACAAGGAUCAUUACAAUACAAUCAGAAAAUUUUCUGCUACAUUCUUGUUCAAUAUCCUGAUAUUAGUAUAUGCUUAAUUUAUCUAUUCAUUCUUAUUGUUGACUUGAAUAUACAAGAUGACAUAUCAAUACAACAAGAUUUACAGCAUCAUACUAUGUUCAUAACUAACAAGAUUUAUAUCUUACAUGUCUACUAACAAAGUUCUAAUAUUAUCUUAUUCAGUUUGUAAUAAUAUUCUCUCCCUCAUUCUAUAUAAAAUCAACAGCUACAUGACUAUCAAAUCAACAGCUACAAGAUAACUGAGCUCUAAAAUACUAUCUAAACUGAUGUCUUCGACAUUUACAGAAAUCAUCUCAAGCCUAAGUAAGUCUAGCAGGGACUGAAAUGAGACUAAAAGAUUCAACACCACAAAUUUUCAAGUGAUACAUGAACUCGUGGACUUGUAUUUCUUCCUUGAUCAUUUUCACAACAGCCAGACUAGAUCUUCAAACCGAGCUGCAAGCAACCAUUCAAUAUUUUCUCAACUUUGUUGAUAAUGAUCCAACGUGUACAAGGCGAAAAAAGCAAAUCAUCGGUGCAUUUGAGGCCGUUUACUGUCCCUCGUUGAUGACAAUGGUGAAACUGAGGUCUUAGGAGCUCCAACUGCUAAUGGCCAUGUUUGAGGGUUUUCGAUUCCAAAGGUGAAUCUACCAGUUUUUUUUUCCAGUUCAUUCUAAUAAGCAAAUAAGGCCUACAAAUUGAACAGAAAAGAGUUAUGCAGUUGUCUACCUAGCGUUUACAGCAUAUAUGCAGAUGAAGAGGAUCCAUGUGAAAUUGAUUGAGAUUCACAAACCAGCAGACUAUUAAUAAUACAUAUUUAUUUUAUGCAUGGACUUUAAGAACCCUGAUUUAACAUGAUUAACUUAUCUAGUCAUUGCAUAUAAACAUCUAGGAAAUAUAUCAUCUAAAAAAAGCAGCAUUAUAGGUAAGAUCCCACCAACCAAAAGAAAAGAGAGAAGCAAAAUAUUACUACUCGAUCACAUUGUGCUGCUCACAAAUGAAAUUGGUGGAAUUAUAAACCUGAAAUUACAUGCAUCAAUCAAGUAUAGUCGGGUGAUUUCUUCUUCACAUCACAAGCACAUUUCCAAAAGUGGAAACAUAUAAGAAUAACCCAUUUGUUAAAGUUUGCUACACUACAUACCAACUUUCUGAAAUUGAUACACUAGCUACCCUUUUUUAAUUUUUUGUCAUUUAUUAAUUGUAAAUCAAUCUAUUUCAAGUACAAUAUGGAUAUCAACUGUAAAUAUACAAGUCCUAUGAGAAAACAAAGAAUAGCAAAGUUGCAAAAAGCAAGCAGUAACAUAUAAGAUGAAGGCAUGAGUUCUUACUUCAGUGGCAGCUAGUUUCUUUACAUCCUCUUCUGUUUGAAUACAAGAUCCAACAUAAAUUUUCUUUGCUCCGUGAUCUGCAAGAGUAAAAUGAAAGCAUCAGCAUGUUGGAGUUCAAUGUCUGAGUCCAUGGACUUUAAGAACCUUGAUUUAGCUAAUGAAUUAUCACAAAAAACAAAAAUACUGAGAGGUCAAGAGCACAAGCAGAUAAUUAUCACAAGCCUCUAGCUCAGACAAAAUGAAUUAAAAGAAAAUAUGAUUCUGCAGAUCUGUGCUUCUGUAUGAGGGCACAAAGCUAUAUAAUUUGGACGUUGCAGGAAGAGCUGACCUUUAUUAGAAGAAAUGCACGUUGAAUCUCGCCUCGUUCCUCAUUCAUCACAAGGUCUCAUGGAGCUGCCAACUGUGUAAACUCUGUGUUGCAUAGAUAAUGAUGCAGCUUUGAUUGCUUAUUUUCAGACAAAUUAAUACUAUAUUCUAAUCAUAUGUUUCUUCACCAAGAGCAAACCAUUAAAAUAAUUUCAAGACAACUAUAUUUUAUGGUAGUUAUUUAUGGUCUGUCAUUGGGAAAGUAAUGCAGAUUCCUUGAAUCCUUUUCCCCACUAUAUCAUAAGCACAU